UACGUAGGCAGCAAGCGUUGUUCGGAGUUACUGGGCGUAAAGGGUGUGUAGGCGGUUCUUUAAGUUUGGUGUGAAAUCUCCCGGCUCAACUGGGAGGGUGCGCCGAAUACUGAGGGACUAGAGUACGGGAGAGGAAAGUGGAAUUCCUGGUGUAGCGGUGAAAUGCGUAGAUAUCGGAAGGAACACCAGUGGCGAAAGCGGCUUCCUGGUCCAGCACCGACGUUCAGGCACGAAAGCGUGGGGAGCAAACAGG
RNAcentral lists this ribosomal RNA (253 nucleotides) under uncultured bacterium. Its description in RNAcentral is "partial 16S ribosomal RNA". It matches the Rfam family "Bacterial small subunit ribosomal RNA", at positions 524 to 776 of the family's 1533-position model. The record is from RNAcentral.